UGCAUGUCUAAGUGCAAGCCAAAUUAAGGUGAAACCGCGAAAGGCUCAUUAUAUCAGUUAUGGUUCAAUAGAUCGUACUCAGUUACAUGGAUAACUGCGGAAAUACUGGAGCUAAUACAUGCCAACAGAGUCCCGACCGGUGACGGAAGGGACGCUUUUAUUAGAUCAAAACCAAUCGGUCGCUUCGGCGAUCGUGCAGUCUUGGUGACUCUGAAUAACUUUGGGCUGAUCGCACGGCCUCCGUGCCGGCGACGCAUCUUUCAAAUGUCUGCCUUAUCAACUGUCGAUGGUAGGUUCUGCGCCUACCAUGGUUGUAACGGGUAACGGGGAAUCAGGGUUCGAUUCCGGAGAGGGAGCCUGAGAAACGGCUACCACAUCCAAGGAAGGCAGCAGGCGCGCAAAUUACCCACUCCCGGCUCGGGGAGGUAGUGACGAAAGAUAACGAUACGGGACUCAUCCGAGGCCCCGUAAUCGGAAUGACUACACUUUAAAUCCUUUAAGGAGUAUCAAUGAGAGGGCAAGUCUGGUGCCAGCAGCCGCGGUAAUUCCAGCUCUCAUAGCGUAUAUUAAAGUUGUUGCGGUUAAAAAGCUCGUAGUUGGAUCUGUGUCCCGCACCGUCGGUACGCCGCCCGUCGGUGCUAACUGGCGUGCUGCGGGACGUCCUGCCGGUGGCGCGUCUAGCUGGUGGUGCUUUCGGGCGCCAUCGGGCGGCGCCGAUUCAAUCCCGCUGCGGUGCUCUUUACUGAGUGUCGAGGUGGGCCGGCACGUUUACUUUGAACAAAUUAGAGUGCUCAAAGCAGGCUGGAUACGCCUGGAUAAUUUUGCAUGGAAUAAUGGAAUAGGACCUCGGUUCUAUUUUGUUGGUUUUCGGAGCCAGAGGUAAUGA
Molecule: ribosomal RNA, 886 nt
Filed under: Aeolothrips fasciatus
Lineage: Eukaryota; Metazoa; Arthropoda; Insecta; Thysanoptera; Aeolothripidae
Description: bacterial SSU rRNA
Rfam family: Eukaryotic small subunit ribosomal RNA
Source: RNAcentral